GGACGAUUAGUGUAGUGGUUAUCACGUUUCCUUUACACGGAAAAGGUCGCAGGUUCGAUCCCUGCAUCGUUCA
Molecule: transfer RNA, 73 nt
Filed under: Pseudogymnoascus destructans 20631-21
Lineage: Eukaryota; Fungi; Ascomycota; Leotiomycetes; Thelebolales; Thelebolaceae
Description: tRNA-Val (TAC) (tRNA-Val-TAC-1-1)
Rfam family: tRNA
About the family: Transfer RNA (tRNA) molecules are approximately 80 nucleotides in length. Their secondary structure includes four short double-helical elements and three loops (D, anti-codon, and T loops).
Source: RNAcentral